Molecule: non-coding RNA, 63 nt
Filed under: unclassified sequences
Description: S15-Flavobacteria ribosomal protein leader
Rfam family: S15-Flavobacteria ribosomal protein leader
Source: RNAcentral
UAUCUUUGCAGCUGUGUUAAAAGAAACACGUACAUAAAAAUCAUUAAAAACAAUAUUGGAAUG